UAUGAAGUUGAUGUGCUCUCU
Molecule: non-coding RNA, 21 nt
Filed under: Rattus norvegicus (Norway rat)
Lineage: Eukaryota; Metazoa; Chordata; Mammalia; Rodentia; Muridae
Source: RNAcentral